AAUCAAUUUCAUAUGAAUAUGACAUAUCAAUUCCUACAACGGUGGCCAGACCUGAGAAUUUUUCAUAAAAAUUCCCAUAAAAUAAUAUAUUUAUAUAAAAAUAUCUACACCGCCCAAAUUGACGCAAAGACGCUGACAACUGAUCAAAACCUAGAAAAUCCACGCACAUGAAUCAGACGGUUGGAGUUUCGAUCCUGAUGGUCGAGUCUCCAGUCUCCCGUAAGUUCGGCACCGUAGGAUCGGUGAUCGUGUCGACUAAUCCCAACCGCAUACCGAUAACACUCUCUCAGCUCCGCUCGGAUGCUCUCGGUGGCCGCCACAGAGAACCGCCUCCGAGAUGCCGGCGCGACGCCGUAUCGCUUUCUGGGCUCUCGUUGCCUCGCUUCUGUGCUUCGAGCCGGUCCUCUCCCUCGCGAGAGGAGCUUGCGAGCUUAGCGUUCGAUGGCGCGAUGCUAUUUAUAACUAUAGCUUGGCGUCGCCCACCUCUAAUCACCCCCACGGCGUUCUCAGCGAAGAUGGGUUUUACAAGGUAGCAGUAAAUGAGACGUUGCUCUGGUUUCAGCUAUGCGAUCAGAUGAUAUUCAACCAUGAUCCACCUAGAUGUUUUAGUUGCCAGGACUGUGGAGGUCCUUCUCAUUGUGGCAUGAAGUGCAGUGCACUUGUGGCAAACAACAUAGGAGGUUAUCCAGUUUGCACAACUAUUGGGGGGUUACCAAAUCAACAUAUUGCUCUCAUUGAUGAAAAUGAUCCAGAAAGGGGUGUCAUCAUUAGGAUGUCAGCAAGUGGCCAGGAAAAAUUUUGUUCACUUUCUGUUUCAGUUUUCUGUGAUUCAGUUAAAACACAAGUACCAAAUUCAUUGAACAUAUCAGGAAGCUGUGACUAUGCUACAAUGCUUAGGCAUCCAUCCGGUUGUGCUAAAGUAAGUUCUGUCAAUGGAAAAGGGCUGGGCUGGUUUGGUACCUUAAUAAUCAUAAUCUUAUGCCUUCUAGGAGGUUACAUUCUGGUUGGCACCAUUUACAGGUUUUUCUUCCUCGGAAUUCAUGGUGCAGAAGCUAUACCAAACGUCGAAUUUUGGCUCAGUUUGCCACAAAGAGCAAGGGGUAUGCUUGAUUCCUUGGGAAGAAGAUUCCGAGGACACACUAGAGAUGGUCGAGGUUCUUAUGCUCCUAUGAACUACUGAAAAACACAUUUGGCCAACUUUCUCAUGGAGUUCUCUCUUGGUGGAUUUACUCAUCUAGGCAAACAAUUUGAGAGAUCAGCAGUGUCUGCAAUUAGAAGGAAACAUUGCAUGGUAUUUAUUAUCAGGCUCACUUGCUAUAUUGAGUUAAAUAUUGCUGAUUUGUCUAUUGCUUCAUGGCCAUGGUUCUGCGUUUGUUCUUUUCUUUGGAAUUUAAAUUUGCACCCGCAAGUGGAAUACCUUGUCUUACAUUAAUCAUGACUUGAUUUUGCUACUUUGUAUGAGAUCCACCUUCAUAGUUGGGUGGAUGGUGACAAGUCUCAAGAAGUUUCAAGCAUAAUGAUUUUUUAAUUGGUGAUAAAGUUGAUCUGGAGACGUGAGGGCCAAGACAGCUCUUGUGGGAUAUAUAUCUCUCACUUCCAUUUUUAAAUGAUUCGCAAA
Elaeis guineensis (African oil palm) is the source of this 1618-nucleotide non-coding RNA. The record is from RefSeq and is a predicted model, not a curated record. Lineage: Eukaryota; Viridiplantae; Streptophyta; Magnoliopsida; Arecales; Arecaceae.